Molecule: ribosomal RNA, 468 nt
Filed under: uncultured bacterium
Lineage: Bacteria
Description: partial 16S ribosomal RNA
Rfam family: Bacterial small subunit ribosomal RNA
Source: RNAcentral
GACGAACGCUGGCGGCGUGCUUAACACAUGCAAGUCGAACGGAAAGGCCCUGCUUUUGUGGGGUGCUCGAGUGGCGAACGGGUGAGUAACACGUGAGUAACCUGCCCUUGACUUUGGGAUAACUUCAGGAAACUGGGGCUAAUACCGGAUAGGAGCUCCUGCUGCAUGGUGGGGGUUGGAAAGUUUCGGCGGUUGGGGAUGGACUCGCGGCUUAUCAGCUUGUUGGUGGGGUAGUGGCUUACCAAGGCUUUGACGGGUAGCCGGCCUGAGAGGGUGACCGGCCACACUGGGCCUGAGAUACGGCCCAGACUCCUACGGGAGGCAAGAGUGGGGAAUAUUGCACAAUGGGCGGAAGCCUGAUGCAGCAACGCCGCGUGCGGGAAGACGGCCUUCGGGUUGUAAACCGCUUUCGCCUGUGACGAAGCGUGAGUGACGGUAAUGGGUAAAGAAGCACCGGCUAACUACGUG